UGCAGUCGAGCGGACCUUUGAGAGCUUGCUCUCAAAGGUUAGCGGCGGACGGGUGAGUAACACGUGGGUAACCUGCCUGUAAGAUUGGGAUAACUCCGGGAAACCGGAGCUAAUACCGGAUAACAUUUUGAACCGCAUGGUUCGAAAUUGAAAGGUGGCUUUUGCUACCACUUACAGAUGGACCCGCGGCGCAUUAGCUAGUUGGUGAGGUAAUGGCUCACCAAGGCAACGAUGCGUAGCCGACCUGAGAGGGUGAUCGGCCACACUGGGACUGAGACACGGCCCAGACUCCUACGGGAGGCAGCAGUAGGGAAUCUUCCGCAAUGGACGAAAGUCUGACGGAGCAACGCCGCGUGAGUGAUGAAGGCCUUCGGGUCGUAAAGCUCUGUUGUUAGGGAAGAACAAGUACCGUUCAAAUAGGGCGGUACCAUGACGGUACCUAACCAGAAAGCCACGGCUAACUACGUGCCAGCAGCCGCGGUAAUACGUAGGUGGCAAGCGUUGUCCGGAAUUAUUGGGCGUAAAGGGCUCGCAGGCGGUUCCUUAAGUCUGAUGUGAAAGCCCACGGCUCAACCGUGGAGGGUCAUUGGAAACUGGGGAACUUGAGUACAGAAGAGGAGAGUGGAAUUCCACGUGUAGCGGUGAAAUGCGUAGAGAUGUGGAGGAACACCAGUGGCGAAGGCGACUCUCUGGUCUGUAACUGACGCUGAGGAGCGAAAGCGUGGGGAGCGAACAGGAUUAGAUACCCUGGUAGUCCACGCCGUAAACGAUGAGUGCUAAGUGUUAGAGGGUUUCCGCCCUUUAGUGCUGCAGCCAAACGCAUUAAGCACUCCGCCUGGGGAGUACGGUCGCAAGACUGAAACUCAAGGAAUUGACGGGGGCCCGCACAAGCGGUGGAGCAUGUGG
RNAcentral lists this ribosomal RNA (906 nucleotides) under Metabacillus galliciensis. Its description in RNAcentral is "bacterial SSU rRNA". It matches the Rfam family "Bacterial small subunit ribosomal RNA", at positions 56 to 944 of the family's 1533-position model. The record is from RNAcentral. Lineage: Bacteria; Bacillati; Bacillota; Bacilli; Caryophanales; Bacillaceae.